RNAcentral lists this ribosomal RNA (2543 nucleotides) under Escherichia coli. RNAcentral's name for it is "partial 23S ribosomal RNA". It matches the Rfam family "Bacterial large subunit ribosomal RNA", at positions 165 to 2732 of the family's 2925-position model. The record is from RNAcentral. Lineage: Bacteria; Pseudomonadati; Pseudomonadota; Gammaproteobacteria; Enterobacterales; Enterobacteriaceae.
CAUAGGUUAAUGAGGCGAACCGGGGGAACUGAAACAUCUAAGUACCCCGAGGAAAAGAAAUCAACCGAGAUUCCCCCAGUAGCGGCGAGCGAACGGGGAGGAGCCCAGAGCCUGAAUCAGUGUGUGUGUUAGUGGAAGCGUCUGGAAAGGCGCGCGAUACAGGGUGACAGCCCCGUACACAAAAAUGCACAUGCUGUGAGCUCGAUGAGUAGGGCGGGACACGUGGUAUCCUGUCUGAAUAUGGGGGGACCAUCCUCCAAGGCUAAAUACUCCUGACUGACCGAUAGUGAACCAGUACCGUGAGGGAAAGGCGAAAAGAACCCCGGCGAGGGGAGUGAAAAAGAACCUGAAACCGUGUACGUACAAGCAGUGGGAGCCUCUUAAUGGGGUGACUGCGUACCUUUUGUAUAAUGGGUCAGCGACUUAUAUUCUGUAGCAAGGUUAACCGAAUAGGGGAGCCGAAGGGAAACCGAGUCUUAACUGGGCGUUAAGUUGCAGGGUAUAGACCCGAAACCCGGUGAUCUAGCCAUGGGCAGGUUGAAGGUUGGGUAACACUAACUGGAGGACCGAACCGACUAAUGUUGAAAAAUUAGCGGAUGACUUGUGGCUGGGGGUGAAAGGCCAAUCAAACCGGGAGAUAGCUGGUUCUCCCCGAAAGCUAUUUAGGUAGCGCCUCGUGAAUUCAUCUCCGGGGGUAGAGCACUGUUUCGGCAAGGGGGUCAUCCCGACUUACCAACCCGAUGCAAACUGCGAAUACCGGAGAAUGUUAUCACGGGAGACACACGGCGGGUGCUAACGUCCGUCGUGAAGAGGGAAACAACCCAGACCGCCAGCUAAGGUCCCAAAGUCAUGGUUAAGUGGGAAACGAUGUGGGAAGGCCCAGACAGCCAGGAUGUUGGCUUAGAAGCAGCCAUCAUUUAAAGAAAGCGUAAUAGCUCACUGGUCGAGUCGGCCUGCGCGGAAGAUGUAACGGGGCUAAACCAUGCACCGAAGCUGCGGCAGCGACACUAUGUGUUGUUGGGUAGGGGAGCGUUCUGUAAGCCUGUGAAGGUGGCCUGUGAGGGUUGCUGGAGGUAUCAGAAGUGCGAAUGCUGACAUAAGUAACGAUAAAGCGGGUGAAAAGCCCGCUCGCCGGAAGACCAAGGGUUCCUGUCCAACGUUAAUCGGGGCAGGGUGAGUCGACCCCUAAGGCGAGGCCGAAAGGCGUAGUCGAUGGGAAACAGGUUAAUAUUCCUGUACUUGGUGUUACUGCGAAGGGGGGACGGAGAAGGCUAUGUUGGCCGGGCGACGGUUGUCCCGGUUUAAGCGUGUAGGCUGGUUUUCCAGGCAAAUCCGGAAAACCAAGGCUGAGGCGUGAUGACGAGGCACUACGGUGCUGAAGUGACAAAUGCCCUGCUUCCAGGAAAAGCCUCUAAGCAUCAGGUAACAUCAAAUCGUACCCCAAACCGACACAGGUGGUCAGGUAGAGAAUACCAAGGCGCUUGAGAGAACUCGGGUGAAGGAACUAGGCAAAAUGGUGCCGUAACUUCGGGAGAAGGCACGCUGAUAUGUAGGUGAAGCGACUUGCUCGUGGAGCUGAAAUCAGUCGAAGAUACCAGCUGGCUGCAACUGUUUAUUAAAAACACAGCACUGUGCAAACACGAAAGUGGACGUAUACGGUGUGACGCCUGCCCGGUGCCGGAAGGUUAAUUGAUGGGGUUAGCGGUAACGCGAAGCUCUUGAUCGAAGCCCCGGUAAACGGCGGCCGUAACUAUAACGGUCCUAAGGUAGCGAAAUUCCUUGUCGGGUAAGUUCCGACCUGCACGAAUGGCGUAAUGAUGGCCAGGCUGUCUCCACCCGAGACUCAGUGAAAUUGAACUCGCUGUGAAGAUGCAGUGUACCCGCGGCAAGACGGAAAGACCCCGUGAACCUUUACUAUAGCUUGACACUGAACAUUGAGCCUUGAUGUGUAGGAUAGGUGGGAGGCUUUGAAGUGUGGACGCCAGUCUGCAUGGAGCCGACCUUGAAAUACCACCCUUUAAUGUUUGAUGUUCUAACGUUGGCCCCUAAUCGGGGUUGCGGACAGUGUCUGGUGGGUAGUUUGACUGGGGCGGUCUCCUCCUAAAGAGUAACGGAGGAGCACGAAGGUUGGCUAAUCCUGGUCGGACAUCAGGAGGUUAGUGCAAUGGCAUAAGCCAGCUUGACUGCGAGCGUGACGGCGCGAGCAGGUGCGAAAGCAGGUCAUAGUGAUCCGGUGGUUCUGAAUGGAAGGGCCAUCGCUCAACGGAUAAAAGGUACUCCGGGGAUAACAGGCUGAUACCGCCCAAGAGUUCAUAUCGACGGCGGUGUUUGGCACCUCGAUGUCGGCUCAUCACAUCCUGGGGCUGAAGUAGGUCCCAAGGGUAUGGCUGUUCGCCAUUUAAAGUGGUACGCGAGCUGGGUUUAGAACGUCGUGAGACAGUUCGGUCCCUAUCUGCCGUGGGCGCUGGAGAACUGAGGGGGGCUGCUCCUAGUACGAGAGGACCGGAGUGGACGCAUCACUGGUGUUCGGGUUGUCAUGCCAA